Numida meleagris (helmeted guineafowl) is the source of this 1984-nucleotide long non-coding RNA. RefSeq lists it as uncharacterized. The record is from RefSeq and is a predicted model, not a curated record. The transcript has 2 exons. Lineage: Eukaryota; Metazoa; Chordata; Aves; Galliformes; Numididae.
AUCCCAUGUAGGCUGCUGUCUGCAGGGCUGCUUUAGGGCAUCCGUGGCUCUGAGUCUGCAGUUCUGCACUUGUGUGUGCAAUAUGCAACACGACGAAGUGCAGACACUUCUUCCCAGAGACAUGCACAGAUGCUUCAGCCCAUUGCCCUAGGGGGGAUUUGUUCGGAUCUCUCUCCGUACCACCGUGCGUACAUAGAGGAGUUGGGGUUGGAGAGAGCUGACAACAUCUCCUUUACAGGGUGGGAAGAGCAGCCUGUGCCUCUGGCGUGUCUCAUCCCAGGAAGAGGAGUGCCAGACACAUGUUUGCUGGGCAUGGCCAUACAGCCAGCACAGGCCAUGUGUUCAGCGUACAUGGAUAACCCAAACUCUAGAGGUGCUGGUGCAAGGGCAGAGUUGCAGAGCCACACGUUGAAGCAGAGCAAGCCACUAGCAAGGCUUUCAUGGCCAACCCUAUGGUUCUGUGAUCCUCACCUGGAGCACAGCCACCCACCUGGCCUUCACUGCCAGAGGGGCUUGCUUGGUCUGAUGUGGCCUGGAGAGGUGUGUGGUGGGGCAAAGAGGUUCACUGCAGGAAGAGACUGAAGGUGAUGUGCUGAAGUUGGAUGAUGGUGGUAGUAGUGCUCACGGAGCCCAUUGUACAGGCUGGCCCAUGUUCCCUGCUUACUCAGCACAAAGAAGGCCUUAGGCAGUCAGGUGGGCUCUCAGUGUGUGAAACCAGAUGAUGGGGAUACAGCUGGAUCUCUCCCUUGAGUUAAAUGGGCUGAAACCCACCGGGGGCACGUCACCUGAGCACCGCUGUGCUUGGCACUGCUUUGGUAGUGCAACCCAAGUAACAAGUGUACAGGAGGAGCACAGAGGUGCCAAAUGUGAAAUAGCAUUAGGGAGUCUUCUGCAAGUGAAUCAGUACAUGGCCAGUGAUCUUGGGGACAAGUGAAACCAGCUGAAGUGAUGAUGAGGACCCAGCGCCUCUCAGGAACCUAAUAAUUCCCCUUAAAGUGUUGUGAACCUUGCAGAGGGACUAGUUCUUGGUUCGGUAUGUACAUCCCUCUUCGUGCAGCUGGAAACCAUAGUGGCUGACCCAAUAAUUACCAUAGCACAUCACCUCUGGCAAAGGCUGUAAGAAGCUGAGGAGCCACUCUCUGUCUCUUGUUUUCCUUCCAUCCUUCAUGAAGGGCCCAGCAGACAGCAGCAAUACCCCCAUUCCAGAAACAGAGUUAAUCUUAGAGUGAUACCCGCAGGACCUGACCAGGUAUUGCGUGCUGGCAGCAUAGCACUGGCAUUCCUGCGAGGCAUUAGUAAAUACCAACAACCUCAUUACUGUUAUCUUGUACCCUGCGGAGUAUUUACUUAGUGAACAGCAAAGGAAUAAAAAUAUAAAUACCUCUCCCAGGUCCUACGUUUGAUAUACAUCACUUGAUAACUAUUCUGGGAAAGGUCUUCCUCUGCUACUGCAGCAUGUGGAUCCCUAAUCCUCCUGCAGGAUCCCCCUCCCACUGAUGUCAGAGGCAAACUAUGUGCAUGGGGGAAAGGGCAAAAUGUAAUGGUGCAGAGCAGGAAGGACUUUGCCCAAAUGCCGAAAAUACUGCUGGGUGUCAGCAAAUACCACACCUGCGCUCCAGCCUCUGGCCUGUGCCCACAGUCAGGUGGAGGUUAUUGGCUGCUGGGAUGGGGCAAGCUUUGCUCAGCUUUGUGUCAGCAGGUGUGCCUUAGUCCGUCCCUUACAGAGUCUAGUGAUUUGUCUCCAGUGGUGCUCUGGGCACAGAGAAGGGCUGGCCUGCCUCUCGGUCGUACUUUCAGUCCUCUUUGGUUGGGGUUUCUCAGCCAGGUUCUGGUAUCUGUCAAACAGAGAGCUUUGGACUGAAAAGGAACUGCUCAGAUCACACUCAGGUGGAGGAAGCAUGCAAGCCAAAGCAGAAGUGUGUAGGCUGAACAGAGACCUUCUGCUGAUUUAAAUAACCCAUCCACCCAACCACCUGCUGCUCCU